GACGAACGCUGGCGGCGUGCCUAAUACAUGCAAGUCGAGCGAAGUUUUUCUGGUGCUUGCACUAGAAAAACUUAGCGGCGAACGGGUGAGUAACACAUAAAGAACCUGCCUCAUAGACUGGGACAACUAUUGGAAACGAUAGCUAAUACCGGAUAACAGUAUUUCUCGCAUGAGAGAUAUUUAAAAGUUGGUUAUGCUAACACUAUGAGAUGGCUUUGCGGUGCAUUAGCUAGUUGGUGGGGUAAAGGCCCACCAAGGCGACGAUGCAUAGCCGACCUGAGAGGGUGAUCGGCCACACUGGGACUGAGACACGGCCCAGACUCCUACGGGAGGCAGCAGUAGGGAAUCUUCCGCAAUGGGCGAAAGCCUGACGGAGCAACGCCGCGUGAGUGAAGAAGGAUUUCGGUUCGUAAAGCUCUGUUGUUAGGGAAGAAUGGAUAUGUAGUAACUAUACAUGUAAGAGACGGUACCUAACCAGAAAGCCACGGCUAACUACGUG
Molecule: ribosomal RNA, 499 nt
Filed under: uncultured bacterium
Lineage: Bacteria
Description: partial 16S ribosomal RNA
Rfam family: Bacterial small subunit ribosomal RNA
Source: RNAcentral